UCAUGCUCAUAUAUCUCUUUGGUCUGAAUUAGAACACCGUUAUUGUCACAGGUGCACAGCACAAGAGGGAGCUGAGGAACACAGGUUAUGGGACUUGCCCAUGCUGAUGAGCAAAGUUGCAAUUAGAUGAAUUAGUAUGAAUAAUUGAGGUUGGCUUUCAUAUCAGCAGCCAGAGGACAUGCUGCUGAAGACAGACACUUAAAAGUGAGAGGAGACCCACGUUUU
RNAcentral lists this long non-coding RNA (225 nucleotides) under Gallus gallus (chicken). Its description in RNAcentral is "long non-coding RNA NONGGAT007283". The record is from RNAcentral. Lineage: Eukaryota; Metazoa; Chordata; Aves; Galliformes; Phasianidae.